AAAGUCUAUUCACAAGACUAUUCAUAACAUUCUAGUCACACUAUUCACAUUUAGACAUGAUUCAGAAAAGAGGAUAGGAUCUCAGUUCUCAUCCGGGUCGUACUCAGGAUCAUCCUGAUCCUCUUCUGACUCUUCUUCACUAAGCUCACAUCCUUCAAGCUCUUCAUCUUUUAUCGGCUCAUCGUCCUCUUCUGGUUCCUUCUUCAUAGGCUCAUCUACGGGCCUGAAUUGAUGUCCCACAACCGGGAUGAGACUAUGUAUCAGCAAGUUCUACCCCACUAAGACUCGAUUAGGAAACCGAUACGCUAACCGGGCUGCCUAUACACGCACGGGUCAGAGGACUUACCUUGGCCUCAGAUUCCACCUGCAUAUUAACACAAUUCAAUAGGCACCUAAGCAAUUACAUCACAGAUCAAUAUCUCGAUCCAUCGACCUAGUCGAUUUCAUAUAAAUUCGACCAUUCCCCAGUCGUUUCCCUUAUUUAGUCUCAAAUUGUACUCACGACUUCACGAGCAUAUACUACCAAAUUUCUUGGCAACAAAUUACAGUCCCGAAGGACAUGACCUAUCUUUAGGUAGCAAAUUACGGCCCAAUGGGCGCGACCUUUAAUGGUGGCAGAUUACGACCUUAUCAGGCGCGACCCUUAUCGGGUGGCAGAUUACGGCCUUAUCAGGCGCGACCCAUAUCAGGUGGCAGAUUAUGGCCUUAUCAGGUGUGACCCAUAUUAGGCGGUAGAUUACGGCCCCAACGAGCGCGGCCGACUCCAAAUUCGGUGGCAGAACUUGGCCCUACUAGCACAGCCAUACUUUGGGCAACUUUCGAGGUUCAACUCACAACCUCUCACAGUCAAAUUCUAAUUGAAUAUCGACACUGAUCAAUUUUGGGAUAAAUCCCCACAUACUCAUCAACUCACUCAAUUUACACACGAUAUUAACAUACCCACUGGAUCUCAGCCAAAAGUAUAUUCAAUUCACUCUUACGAACUUCUCCACUUAAUAGCUCAUCAAAGAUUAUUGACGCUAAACAAUCGUACACGGCCAUCCGCAAGUCAAUUACUCAAUCAUAAUCAAUUUAGGAAUAAUUCCUCAAAUUGCACAAUUAAUUCAAUUCAACACAACGUAGGGCUCAAAUAAAUAAACGGACUACACCACAACAAUCAGCACGAAAUUUUGGUUGUCGGCUAUCCUUGCCUAAUUUCCGAAAAAUAAAUAAUUAAAUGAUUAAUUUCGAAAAUUAAUAAAUAAAUACUAAAAAUCCAAUUUAGGCCCGUAAUGCCUAAUUGAAGCUCAAUAAGGGUCGGGAAAAAUCCCGAGAUGCAUUCAAUAAAUAAUAGUACGUCUCUACUUGCUAAUAACUAAGUCUAACCACCUAACAAGGAUCAUUAAGUCACUAAUUUAAUUAUUCUAAACUAAUCUAACCACCUAAUUGCACUUAAUUAAAUCUAGAGGUGUUAAAAUGGGUCAUAAACCCAUUUAUGACCCAUUUAAAUCUUAAAUGGGUCACUUGUUUAUAACAAAAGAUAGUUAAAUGGGUUUCACAAUUAAAGGUUUAAGAUAGGUGGGUCUUAAGUGGGUUUUUAAAUGGGUUGGGUUGAAAACUCAUCUUUAACAAAAACAUUAUAAUUCCUCCCUUCUCUCUUUAACUUUAUAAAAAUCCAAAUUAUAAUUUUUUCUUUUUAUUUUCUCUUUUCUUUUUCUUCCUUUUUUUUAUCUUUCUUCUUUUUUUUUCUUUUUUUUUUUCUUUCUCCUUCCUCCUUCCGGUCGCCGGCACGGCGACGCCGGCGAUCGGCCAGGCAAGCCUCGAGCUCGCCGGAUCUGGCGAGGCGGCGACCUCGCCGACGCCCGGCGAGGCUCGAGCUCGCCAGCGUUGGGUGAGGCUCGAGCCUCGCCAGUUCCGACGAGGGGCGAGCUCGAGCUCGCCCGACACCGGUGAGCCUCGAGUUGGCCGGAUCUGGCGAGGCUCGAGCCUCAAGCUCGCCGGCCGUCGUCGUGGCCGGCGGCCGGCCAAAGAAGAAGAAGAAGGAGAAGAAAAAAGAGAAAAAGAAAAAAGAAAAAGAAAAGAGAAAAAUAAAAUUAUAUUUUAAAAAUAAAAAAAAUAAUUAAUUAAAAAAAAUUAAAUUUCGAUUUUUUAAAUAAUUAUUUUAAAAUUUAUAAAAAUUGUCCAUUAAAUUUAUAUUGUAUAAAACUAUUUUAGCAAUACAAUUUUAAAAAAAAUAAUAUAUAUAAUAGCUUGAAAGUAUUUUAAUAAUAUAAUCUUUAAAAAAAACAUAGGAAUAAGUUUUUCUAAAUUUGUUAAAUAUGAAAAUAUUUUAUUGAUGUGAGUUGGGUCGGGUCGGGUAUGGGUUGGGUAUGGGUUGGGUCGAAAAAUUUACAUUAAACAUAAAUGGGUCAUAAAUGGGUUAAUGGGUCAAUUUGGGUCGGACCAUUAAUGACCCGACCCAAACCUGACCCGACCCACUUGUUUAACGGCUCUAAUUAAAUCUAAUCAACCCUUAAGCAUCAUUAGUCUACUAAGCAAUGAUUAGUGAGAUUACUCACUUGAUUAAAAGCG
RNAcentral lists this long non-coding RNA (2550 nucleotides) under Eucalyptus grandis. RNAcentral describes it as "long non-coding RNA (EGRA_LNC002746)". The record is from RNAcentral. Lineage: Eukaryota; Viridiplantae; Streptophyta; Magnoliopsida; Myrtales; Myrtaceae.